Molecule: ribosomal RNA, 314 nt
Filed under: uncultured bacterium
Lineage: Bacteria
Description: bacterial SSU rRNA
Rfam family: Bacterial small subunit ribosomal RNA
Source: RNAcentral
GACGAACGCUGGCGGCGUGCUUAACACAUGCAAGUGGAGCGACGAACCGGUCUUCGGACCGGGGGCAGAGCCGCGAACGGGUGAGUAACACGUGGGUAACCCACCCGAUGACCGGGACAACCCGAGGAAACUCGGGCUAAUACCGGAUGAGCUCUCAUCUUUUGAGAGAUGUGAGGAAAGAUAGCUUCGGCCUUCGCAUCGGGACGGGCCCGCCGGCCCACUUAGCUUGUUGGUGGGGUAACGGCCUACCAAGGCGACGAUGGGUAGCUGGUCUGAGAGGACGAUCAGCCACACUGGGACUGAGACACGGCCCA